Molecule: ribosomal RNA, 434 nt
Filed under: uncultured Coprococcus sp.
Lineage: Bacteria; Bacillati; Bacillota; Clostridia; Lachnospirales; Lachnospiraceae
Description: partial 16S ribosomal RNA
Rfam family: Bacterial small subunit ribosomal RNA
Source: RNAcentral
ACGGAAGGCAGCAGUGGGGAAUAUUGCACAAUGGGGGAAACCCUGAUGCAGCGACGCCGCGUGAGUGAAGAAGUAUUUCGGUAUGUAAAGCUCUAUCAGCAGGGAAGAAAACGACGGUACCUGACUAAGAAGCACCGGCUAAAUACGUGCCAGCAGCCGCGGUAAUACGUAUGGUGCAAGCGUUAUCCGGAUUUACUGGGUGUAAAGGGUGCGUAGGUGGCAUGGCAAGUCAGAAGUGAAAUGCGGGGGCUCAACCCCUGAACUGCUUUUGAAACUGUCAAGCUAGAGUGCAGGAGAGGCAAGCGGAAUUCCUAGUGUAGCGGUGAAAUGCGUAGAUAUUAGGAGGAACACCAGUGGCGAAGGCGGCUUGCUGGACUGAUACUGACACUGAGGCACGAAAGCGUGGGGAGCAAACAGGAUUAGAUACCCUGGUA